RNAcentral lists this ribosomal RNA (326 nucleotides) under uncultured eukaryote. RNAcentral describes it as "partial 18S ribosomal RNA". It matches the Rfam family "Eukaryotic small subunit ribosomal RNA", at positions 1470 to 1796 of the family's 1831-position model. The record is from RNAcentral.
CCCUUAGAUGUCCUGGGCCGCACGCGUGCUACACUGACGCCUACAGCGAGUACUUCCCAGCCCCGAGAGGCGGCUGGUAAUCAGCAAUAGGCGUCGUGAUGGGGAUAGAUCUUUGGAAUUAUGGAUCUUGAACGAGGAAUGCCUAGUAAGCGCAGGUCAUUAGCCUGCGCUGAUUACGUCCCUGCCCUUUGUACACACCGCCCGUCGCUACUACCGAUUUCGAGUGGUCCGGUGAAUAAUUCGGACUGCAGCACUGCUUGGUCUCCAGGCUUUGCAGCGGAAAGUUUAGUGAACCUUAUCACUUAGAGGAAGGAGAAGUCGUAACA